This 208-nucleotide ribosomal RNA is filed under the name uncultured eukaryote. RNAcentral's name for it is "partial 18S ribosomal RNA". It matches the Rfam family "Eukaryotic small subunit ribosomal RNA", at positions 1299 to 1458 of the family's 1831-position model. The record is from RNAcentral.
UCGUGGAGUGAUCUGUCUGGUUAAUUCCGCUAACGGACGAGACCUCUCCUUAUUAACUAGCCCAGUCGAUCGUCGAUACGGGUGAAGCCGUUGAGUGAGUUUGGGCUUCGGCCUGGGCCACUUGGCGUGUGGAACCUGGAUGUAUCGCGCUGGCGCUUCUUAGGGGUACAAUCUGCGGUUUAGCAGAAGGGAGCUAGAGGCAAUAACA